This 315-nucleotide ribosomal RNA is filed under the name uncultured bacterium. Its description in RNAcentral is "bacterial SSU rRNA". It matches the Rfam family "Bacterial small subunit ribosomal RNA", at positions 30 to 334 of the family's 1533-position model. The record is from RNAcentral.
AUUGAACGCUGGCGGCAGGCUUAACACAUGCAAGUCGAGGGGCAGCAUGGUCUUAGCUUGCUAAGGCCGAUGGCGACCGGCGCACGGGUGAGUAACACGUAUCCAACCUGCCGUCUACUCUUGGACAGCCUUCUGAAAGGAAGAUUAAUACAAGAUGGCAUCAUGAGUCCGCAUGUUCACAUGAUUAAAGGUAUUCCGGUAGACGAUGGGGAUGCGUUCCAUUAGAUAGUAGGCGGGGUAACGGCCCACCUAGUCUUCGAUGGAUAGGGGUUCUGAGAGGAAGGUCCCCCACAUUGGAACUGAGACACGGUCCAA